AGUGAACGCUGGCGGCGUGCUUAACACAUGCAAGUCGAACGAGAAACGGUCUAGCUUGCUAGAUGCAGUCUAAGUGGCGCACGGGUGAGUAAUGUAUAGCUAAUGUGCCCCUUGGAGGGGGAUAACAGUCGGAAACGGCUGCUAAUACCCCAUACUCCUUCAUUCUUAAUGAGUGAAGGGAAAGUUUUUUCGCCAAGGGAUCAGGCUAUAUGGUAUCAGCUAGUUGGUGAGGUAACGGCUCACCAAGGCAAUGACGCCUAACUGGUCUGAGAGGAUGAUCAGUCACACUGGAACUGAGACACGGUCCAGACUCCUACGGGAGGCAGCAGUGGGGAAUAUUGCACAAUGGAGGAAACUCUGAUGCAGCAACGCCGCGUGGAGGAUGACGCAUUUCGGUGUGUAAACUCCUUUUAUAUAGGAAGAUAAUGACGGUACUAUAUGAAUAAGCACCGGCUAACUCCGUGCCAGCAGCCGCGGUAAUACGGAGGGUGCAAGCGUUACUCGGAAUCACUGGGCGUAAAGCGCGCGCAGGCGGCUUUGUAAGUUGGAUGUGAAAUCCUAUGGCUCAACCAUAGAACUGCAUCCAAAACUACUUAGCUAGAGUCUGGGAGGGGAUGAUGGAAUUAGUGGUGUAGGGGUAAAAUCCGUAGAGAUCACUAGGAAUACCAAAAGCGAAGGCGAUCUUCUGGAACAGUACUGACGCUGAGGCGCGAAAGCGUGGGGAGCAAACA
This 731-nucleotide ribosomal RNA is filed under the name uncultured Sulfurovum sp. RNAcentral describes it as "bacterial SSU rRNA". It matches the Rfam family "Bacterial small subunit ribosomal RNA", at positions 28 to 774 of the family's 1533-position model. Lineage: Bacteria; Pseudomonadati; Campylobacterota; Epsilonproteobacteria; Campylobacterales; Sulfurovaceae. The record is from RNAcentral.